CAGUCGCCACGGUAAUACGGAGGGAGCUAGCGUUGUUCGGAAUUACUGGGCGUAAAGCGCGCGUAGGCGGUUACUCAAGUCAGAGGUGAAAGCCCGGGGCUCAACCCCGGAACUGCCUUUGAAACUAGGUGACUAGAAUCUUGGAGAGGUCAGUGGAAUUCCGAGUGUAGAGGUGAAAUUCGUAGAUAUUCGGAAGAACACCAGUGGCGAAGGCGACUGACUGGACAAGUAUUGACGCUGAGGUGCGAAAGCAUGGGGAGCAAACAGGAUUAGAUACCCGAGUAGUCCCUGUCUCUUAUAC
RNAcentral lists this ribosomal RNA (301 nucleotides) under uncultured bacterium. RNAcentral describes it as "partial 16S ribosomal RNA". It matches the Rfam family "Bacterial small subunit ribosomal RNA", at positions 509 to 807 of the family's 1533-position model. The record is from RNAcentral.